GCAUAUUUAGCUCAGCGGUAGUAGCAUCUGACUUCUAAUCGGAAGGCCGGGGGUUCGAUUCCCUCAGUAUGCA
Molecule: non-coding RNA, 73 nt
Organism: Anaeramoeba flamelloides
Lineage: Eukaryota; Anaeramoebidae
Source: the annotation of a GenBank genome assembly